RNAcentral lists this ribosomal RNA (253 nucleotides) under uncultured bacterium. RNAcentral's name for it is "partial 16S ribosomal RNA". It matches the Rfam family "Bacterial small subunit ribosomal RNA", at positions 524 to 776 of the family's 1533-position model. The record is from RNAcentral.
GACAGAGGUGCCGAGCGUUAGGCGGAAUCACUGGGCUUAAAGCGUGUGUAGGCGGGUCCGUAAGUACCUUGUGAAAUCCCACGGCUCAACCGUGGAACUGCUCGGUAUACUGCGGCCUUGAGCCAGCUAGGGGCAACCGGACAAACGGUGGAGCGGUGAAAUGCGUAGAUAUCGUUUGGAACGCCGAUGGUGAAAACAGGUUGCUGGGGCUGUGCUGACGCUGAGACACGAAAAGCCAGGGGAGCGGAACGGG